UGGACUUUCAGCAUCUAUCUCCAAGGGUGCACGUGUGCUGUGCUCUCCAGCACCCUGUGGAAAGCACAGACAGGUAGACAUAAGAAAGUUUGAAAGCCCAGCAUCUGAAGUUUCCUCCAAACCUGCUCACAGCUGUGGCUCUCACAAAGGUCUUCUGCUUCAGAACAAAAUAGCUCUGCCCAGGCUGCACCAUGUGGGAGGAUUCAGAAAGCAUGGGCGCAGCCAGGGCACUGCAGGAUGCAAUCACAGGAGCGGGCACGCCGUACCUCUCCCUGGGGCCAUGGGAAGCAAGGAUCACAGGGGCUGAGCAAGAAUCCUGGGCAGCACUGGCCCACUGGCACGUCCUGCUCUGUCUCCUGCUGGCACCAGUGGGAGCCUUCCUGCUGACCGGUCUAACACAUCCCGACCUGAGGGGGUGGCUGGGCUCUGAGCGCGGUGCUGGAGCUGCACAUCACCCGUACACAAAGUGGGGCCAUAUGUCAGGAAGACACAGGAGUGGCUGCAUAGCAUGUCUGGUACCUAUCUGGCUUGGAAAAAGCUUCCAGAUCUUAGUGCUCAUUGAAAUUCAUUUAAUUACGCAGUUGAUAAUCUUAAUUGGAAACAUACUUGGGCGGACUCCAUUGCCCCAGACAGAAAGGCUGAGGGGGAAGCCUGGGAGCAGAGGCAGGGGUGGUUAUUUAAGGCAGCCACUUCUGCAGGUAGCCCAGGAGGCUGGGGACUUCCUAAAAAAGUUCACCAUUAGUGCUGAGCCCUGCUGGGGCACACAGUUCCCAUCUUCAGGAGACAUGAUGCCAGCAGGUCUUCCCUUUGGUUUGCCUUUUGUGUGGCCAAAACCACCGGUCAGGGUGGGGAGGAUGGCACAAGAGUUGCCUCCUCCCGGGAGAGGAGAGGUUUUCCUUGUGAGAAAUGCUCGGACUCCUCUCUUGUAGCCUGGUGCUCCCAGUGUUUUAACAAGAGGCCCCACAAAUAUUUAACUCCAGCAAAGGGAGAAAACCUAGUGUAGUAGGGCGGGAUGGAUAUGUUUGCUGAGAAGAG
RNAcentral lists this long non-coding RNA (1035 nucleotides) under Anser brachyrhynchus (Pink-footed goose). Its description in RNAcentral is "lncRNA (ENSABRG00000011491.1)". The record is from RNAcentral. Lineage: Eukaryota; Metazoa; Chordata; Aves; Anseriformes; Anatidae.